This 450-nucleotide ribosomal RNA is filed under the name uncultured bacterium. Its description in RNAcentral is "partial 16S ribosomal RNA". It matches the Rfam family "Bacterial small subunit ribosomal RNA", at positions 338 to 795 of the family's 1533-position model. The record is from RNAcentral.
CCUACGGGGGGCUGCAGUAGGGAAUAUUGGACAAUGGGCGAAAGCCUGAUCCAGCCAUGCCGCGUGAUAGAUGAAGGCCCUCUGGGUUGUAAAUAUCUUUUAUCUUGGAAGAAACAAUCUUAUUCUUAAGAUCUUGACUGUACCAGAGGAAUAAGCACCGGCUAACUCCGUGCCAGCAGCCGAGGUAAUACGGAGGGUGCAAGCGUUAUCCGGAUUAAAUGGGUCGUAGGGGGGCUGAUAAGGGAGGAUAGAAAGCUCCUAGCUUAACUUGGAAACUGCCAUUGAUACUGCCAGUCUUGAAUGUCGUAGAGGUAAGCGGAAUGUUGCAUGUAGCGGUGAAAUGCUUAGAUAUGUUACAGAACACCAAUUGCGAAGGCAGCUUACUAUGCGAUGAUUGACGCUGAGGCACGAAAGCGUGGGGAGCAAACAGGAUUAGAUACCCCGGUAGUC